GACGAACGCUGGCGGCGUGCUUAACACAUGCAAGUCGAACGGAAAGGCCCUGCUUGCAGGGUACUCGAGUGGCGAACGGGUGGGUAACACGUGGGUGAUCUGCCCUGCACUUCGGGAUAAGCCUGGGAAACUGGGUCUAAUACCGGAUAGGAGCCAUUUUUAGUGUGAUGGUUGGAAAGUUUUUUCGGUGUUGGAUGAGAUCGCGGGCUAUCUGCUUGUUGGUGGGGUAAUGGCCUACCAAGGCGGCGGCGGGUAGCCGGCCUGAGAGGGUGGACGGCGACAUAGAGACUGAGAGACGGCCCAGACACCGACAGGAGGCAGCAGGGGGGAAGAUUGCACAAGGGGCGCAGGCCUGAUGCAGCGACGCUGCGUGGGGGAUGACGGCCUUAGGGUUGUAAACUCCUUUCGCUAGGGACGAAGCUUUUUGUGACGGUACCUAGAUAAGAAGCACCGGCUAACUACGUG
Molecule: ribosomal RNA, 465 nt
Filed under: uncultured bacterium
Lineage: Bacteria
Description: partial 16S ribosomal RNA
Rfam family: Bacterial small subunit ribosomal RNA
Source: RNAcentral